CUCGUGAUCCGCCCGUCUCGGCCUCCCAAAGUGCUGGGAUUACAGGCUUGAGCCACCGCGCCCGGCCUGGAUUAGUUCUUGGAGAGCGUCUUGCCCUCUCUCUCCCACAUCAGAACAUUAGCCACUGUGGCCACGCUCAGCUCAAACAGGGGAAGCGAACCUGCCUGGCUCCAGACCCUAGCCAGAGCCAAGGCUGUGGGAUGCCAGGUGCCCAGUGCUCUGCCCAGGGCCACACAGCACCAAAGCUGAGUCACAUCACAAUCAUGUCGCACACACACAUCCCCCUCACCGUUCCAUUAUUUCAGAGAGUUGCAUCCUCGCCAGGAACUGAUUGUCCUUGCGGAUUUCUCGAACAGCCCCUUUAAAUUCACGCUUGUGUUUGUGGAUCAGCCUCUUCCUUUCCUGUUCCUCCUUACUACUGCCUUGUUUUCUUCCAAACUCGAGGCUACAAUCAAAAAGCCACUGUUAAGGAAGCAAGAAUCUGUCCCCACCUCUCGGCCAGAGCCUGCUCGGGAGUGUGGCUUCGCUCCGUAGUCAUCUGCUCAACUGCAGAACUGGCAGACACCCCCCGUCAGCUCCCACUGAGCCCCCAGUCCCGGCCCCCUAGGGAGAUGCUGCCAACACCCACACUUUGACCAGCCGGGGCGUGAACAGCUUCAGUGGGACAGGCUUGCUCUUCUCACAGGUCAGUGGCCGGCAGAGCUGCUUCUGGCUUUCCAUUUCGGUCAGUGUGCUCUGACACAGCUCCUGAAAAACACACAAUCCCCGACGCUGCGAUGACUUGCCUGCUGCGACCUGAGCUCCACGCGCAGGUUCUGCGGCGUCCAGGCAGCUGAGGACAGUACUGUGAGCUCCCCGCAGCAGGAUGGUGCCCUUGCUGUGUGCCCACCGGUGGAGGGGAAGCCAAGGCUGUGGCUGCUCAAGGUCUGGCACAGCCAAAACAAAGUCAAGCCACUGUUUUCCUGAAGAGGGAGGGGCCCGUGUGCUGGCCCCGGAGAGCACUCUGAAAGGAGGGGACUUGGAGGUCAUGACAGUCUGUGCUCCUCACCGCCAGAAACGUCAACAUAACCCCUUUCCCAGACAAACUUGGCACGAAAGGCCAUGAGCCACCUGCUUCGUGAGAAGGGUCCCAGGAGAACCCCCUUCUGCCGCGGGGGGCCGCGUGCACGCUAGAACCCAGGCGUGCAGACUGAUGCUGGGUGCCAGGUGGGGCAGGGUUUCUACCAGUCUUGGCAGUUUGACCUUAUUUUCAAGCCAACAGAACCAACAGAUGGUUAAGGCCCACUUUCACCAAGACCUUGGCUUCCAGAAGAGUUGGCUGGUGGCUUCUGAGCAAUCUCCCGAAAGCCAGUUCACUGACGUUGGUCCUACCCACUUUCUCUUGCACAGUGUGUCCUGGAACCCUGGCUAACUGCACCCACAGACACAGCCACUCCUGGGCCCAUCUGGAUGUAACCUUCGAGUGCCUGAAUGCCACGUCUCCAUGGAGGCUAAACUCAAGGGCCUGACUGGCUCAGUCUACGAAGACCACAAGGCCUGUUGUGCCCCUCAGCCAGGCCAACCCAAAGAUUUUUAAAUGAAAGGCACAACCCAUGGCCACAUCAGCAGAAAGUGGGUACAGGAUAAGGGGCAGAACUAAUGUCUCCUAUUCCUCAGCCUUUGACUAGGCGAUGGGAGUCUGUGAUGGCUGGCUUGUCUGCUCUAUGCUCCAAGCACCUGGCCAGGGACGGGCCGAGUUGCUGUCCUCAUGGAACUCUCAUCCUAGUGGGGCAGAGACAAGGACGGUGUAACGUGCCUGGGGGUCCGCACCGCAGACAAGACACAGGGAGCAUGGCGCAGUGUGGGCCAGCGAAGGCCUGGCUUCCCAAGGGCAUGGGUGCAAGCAGCACGGCUGUGAAGAGUUCCAGAUGGUGUUGACUUAGAGCUGCAGCCUCAAAUGACCAAAUGCCACCAGCUUGGCCCCAGCUCGGCCCCAGCUCAGGGACAUGUCUGAGCCCAGGUAAAGCACCCGAGGGGCGAGGAAGCCUCACCUGGAGCUCCUGGGGGUGGCUGCAGUCCGCCAGGUGAUCUGUGAGGAGGGCUCGGAGAGGCCCCGUGAUGGCGUGGAAGGAUGGCAGGGACCCAUACAUGAGCACACAGCGCUUCAGCAGGGCCAGGCCCACAGCCAGGCAGGACAGUCUGUGAGGGCAGGAGGCAAGAAGAGGUCCAACUUGUUCUAUUUGUCACUGACAAAACCAGUAACAUGGCAAAAAUGAACUUCCCCACUUCCACUAGGCUGAAAAAUUCAAUGUGGUCACCUUAGCUGGCCAGGGUUGGGCCCAUACACCCACGGGCAAGGUAGGCUCAGUGUCAGGCCUAAUGCAGGAGGGAAGGCUGUGGGAAACGCAGCGCCAGCUGGGAUGGGGUGGCUCCAUUUUUGGCUCCAAGUUAUGAUUUGUGAAAUCAAACAAAUGUAUUUUGAAAAUGAAAAAAAAAGGGACACCAUGCCUCAGAAAGGCUUUCACCCUCCAUCAAGCCAAACAGCCGGGCAGCAAGUUCGCUAACAGCCCAUCAGAAAGCAUGAGUGGCUCCUCCUACCUCUGGGGACGCAUAGGGCACAGGCCCCAAAGCGGGGUCCCCUCACAUACCGGAUGUGAUUGGCCUCUGUUGAAGUGGGGGCCCUCAGUCCACUCGCCCAGCGGAGGGAGAGGCUGCUCUGCUGCCACGUGGCCACAUCCUCUCUAUCAGACACCACAAGCAGUUCCGAGUGCUUCCCAAGUGCUCUGAAAGGGUGCACCAGAGUGGAACCUGAAUUCCAAGUGCGACAGGACAGAGAUGGCCUGAACGUUACUGGGCUCCCAGCAGGCUCUGCAGCACCAAGCCUGUGGAAGUUCACUCUCUAACAGACACACACUGAUUUUUAUGUUUCUGGGUUGUGCCAGACACUGAGGGUUUCCGUGUGGGCAGGGACACCUCAGGGGAAGGGGGAAAGCUCUGGCAGGGGGUGCGGUGAGAGCCAAGUGCCUGAUCCUGCCUGGGAGGCCUGCUUGCAACAGACGUCCUGGGACCUACUAGGCACCACAUGGGGCUGAUGAGGCGCUCAGGCCACAUCCAGGAACAGACUGAAGUCCCUGCCCCUGUCGGGAGACAGGCAGCGAACAGCACCCCAAGGAGCAAAUGGACCAGACAGAACACGAGAAAGGAAAGCAGAGGGGCAGGGGGCAGACAGCAGGGUCAGUCGGGUGACGGUGCAGGGCGGGAGAGGCCUGAGGGGGCAGAUGUCAGCAAAGGCCUGUAGGACACGAAGGAGUCAAUCCACAGAGAAGGGCAAUCCAGGCUGAGGGCGUGGCUGCAGGGGGAGGGAUGGAGACAGGCACAGUGGGGCGGAGGUGCCAGGCCAAGAGAGAGGGGAAGGUGGUGGGUCAAGCCCCGUCCCACUCCCCCAAAGCCGAGAUGCACGCCCCCUCCCUGACUCCACCCGUGCCCAGCCUGUUCCUUCACAGCCCUUCACACGCGGGACUGCAGCAAUCUGCAGGUGGCUCUCCCUGAGGCAGGGAGCAUGUGGGCGACCGCGCCUCUCUGGCACCCGGCACCAAGCCUGACAGACAGGAGCCUCGGGAGCCAGGGGGUGGCAGAAUGGGAGCACUGAACCGGAGGAAUGGCCAAAUCCCUCUUGGAAGGGACUCUGCUGGCAGUGUGAAUGAUGCCAGAGCACCUGCUCCUCAGGUCAGUCCCCUCGACAUGCAGGCGCUUGGCACUGCACGGUGAACUGGAAAUAGAGGGCGGGGGUCUUAGCCUUGAGGUCCAACCUCUGGUCAGGCUGGGAGAGGCAUCCACAGACAUGGAAGAGUUCAGGACAGAGGCUGCACAGCUCUUCGCCCCCCCAAAGGGAAGCAGCAAGUGCUGAGGAAGCAUCCGGGAGCAGAGUUGGCAUCAGGGGAAGGGGGAGGAGCACAGGGGCUGGGGUGAGGGCCCAGGAGGGCAGGCAGUGGGCAGACUGCUCCUCAUCCCAGCGCUGCUCUUGCCACCCUCCCUCCCGAGUUCAGAGCGUUACAGAAGCAACACAGCAGCGAUGCCUGUGUGAGCCACACGAGAACUUUCACACUGCCUUGUUGUCAUGUGAGGAAAAAGUAAAAAGGUAAAAUUGAUUUUAACAAUAGAUCUUAUCUAACCCCAAAUACCAAAAUAUUGUGAUUUUAACACAUAAUACAAAAAAUUAAGAUA
This is a long non-coding RNA of Macaca mulatta (Rhesus monkey), 4203 nucleotides long. RefSeq lists it as uncharacterized. The record is from RefSeq and is a predicted model, not a curated record. Lineage: Eukaryota; Metazoa; Chordata; Mammalia; Primates; Cercopithecidae.